This 637-nucleotide ribosomal RNA is filed under the name Orpinomyces sp. RNAcentral describes it as "bacterial SSU rRNA". The stretch from base 1 to 310 matches the Rfam family "Eukaryotic small subunit ribosomal RNA", at positions 1524 to 1831 of the family's 1831-position model. Lineage: Eukaryota; Fungi; Neocallimastigomycota; Neocallimastigomycetes; Neocallimastigales; Neocallimastigaceae. The record is from RNAcentral.
CAUCCUUGAUCGGGAGGUCCGGGUAAUCUUUUGAAACUUCAUCGUGCUGGGGAUAGUCCCUUGCAAUUUUUGGACUUAAACGAGGAAUUCCUAGUAAGCGUGAGUCAUCAACUCGCGUUGAUUACGUCCCUGCCCUUUGUACACACCGCCCGUCGCUACUACCGAUUGAAUGGCUUAGUGAAUCCUUCGGAUUGGCUAUUUUUUUCUGGCAACAGAAUUAAACUGCUAAAAAGUUGGGCAAACUUGGUCAUUUAGAGGAAGUAAAAGUCGUAACAAGGUUUCCGUAGGUGAACCUGCGGAAGGAUCAUUAAAAAAUAAUCACAGUUUUGUGAUUUUAAUAAUCAUCCUACCCUUUGUGAAUUUGUUUUGUAAAGAAAAUUUAUGUUGUCUAUCCCUGGUGGUUUUUUGGAAAAGUUGAAAAACUUUUUCGAAUCCUCAGGGACUAGGCUUUCAUAGACCUUUUUUUUAAAUUAAACUUUUUGUAUUCAUUUGUCUAAAAUUUAUUUUUAAUAAUUUAAAAACAACUUUUGACAAUGGAUCUCUUGGUUCUCGCAACGAUGAAGAACGCAGCAAAAUGCGAUAAGUAAUGUGAAUUGCAGAAUACGUGAAUCAUCAAAUCUUCGAACGCAUAUUGCAC